AUGUCACUCGGCCCACUACCC
This 21-nucleotide microRNA is filed under the name Pteropus alecto (black flying fox). RNAcentral describes it as "pal-miR-668-3p". Its record names the gene pal-miR-668-3p. Lineage: Eukaryota; Metazoa; Chordata; Mammalia; Chiroptera; Pteropodidae. RNAcentral also lists the same sequence under 2 other names. The record is from miRBase by way of RNAcentral.